AUUGAACGCUGGCGGAAUGCUUUACACAUGCAAGUCGAACGGCAGCACGGGAGCUUGCUCCUGGUGGCGAGUGGCGAACGGGUGAGUAACACAUCGGAACAUGCCUAGUCGUGGGGGAUACCGUAGCGAAAGUUACGUUAAUACCGCAUACGUCCUGAGGGAGAAAGCAGGGGAUCGUAAGACCUUGCGCGAUUAGAGUGGCCGAUGCCUGAUUAGCUUGUUGGUGAGGUAAUGGCUCACCAAGGCGACGAUCAGUAGCGGGUCUGAGAGGAUGAUCCGCCACACUGGGAACUGAGACACGGUCCAGACUCCUACGGGAGGCAGCAGUGGGGAAUUUUUGGACAAUGGGGGCAACCCUGAUCCAGCCAUUCCGCGUGAGUGAAGAAGGCCUUCGGG
Molecule: ribosomal RNA, 396 nt
Filed under: uncultured bacterium
Lineage: Bacteria
Description: bacterial SSU rRNA
Rfam family: Bacterial small subunit ribosomal RNA
Source: RNAcentral